AACGAACGCUGGCGGCAGGCUUAACACAUGCAAGUCGAACGCACCUUUCGGGGUGAGUGGCAGACGGGUGAGUAACGCGUGGGAAUCUACCCUUCUCUACGGGAUAGCUCCGGGAAACUGGAAUUAAUACCGUAUACGUCCUGAGGGAGAAAGAUUUAUCGGGGAAGGAUGAGCCCGCGUUGGAUUAGCUAGUUGGUGGGGUAAAGGCCUACCAAGGCGACGAUCCAUAGCUGGUCUAAGAGGAUGAUCAGCCACAUUGGGACUGAGACACGGCCCAAACUCCUACGGGAGGCAGCAGUGGGGAAUAUUGGACAAUGGGCGCAAGCCUGAUCCAGCCAUGCCGCGUGAGAGAUGAAGGCCCUAGGGUUGUAAAGCUCUUUCAGUGGGGACGAUAAUGACGGUACCCACAGAAGAAGCCCCGGCUAACUUCGUG
This 433-nucleotide ribosomal RNA is filed under the name uncultured bacterium. RNAcentral's name for it is "partial 16S ribosomal RNA". It matches the Rfam family "Bacterial small subunit ribosomal RNA", at positions 29 to 507 of the family's 1533-position model. The record is from RNAcentral.